CCUCCUCCACCGCUGAAUCAUCCUCCUCCGCCGCCGCCGCCACCAUCUCCGCCCCCAAAGCCUCCGCCGCCCCCUCCUCCUCCGCCGCCGCCACCAUCUCCGCCCCCAAAGCCUCCGCCGCCCCCUCCUCCGCCACCGUCGCCUCCAUAUCCACCGCCGUCACCCCCUCCGCCAGCGCCGUCUCCGCCUACGUAGCCGCCAUCGUCACCUCCAUCAGGACCAUCUUCUCCCCCACCUCCGUCUCCCCCUCCCCCUCCCCCUCCGCCUCCCUCUAAAUCUCCCCCUCCACCUCCUCCGGCAGAUUUGAAACAGCGGCUGGCGAUGGCAAGCAUGGCGGCCACAGCGAUCAUAAUCGAGGCCCCGAUAGCAAAAAUUUUACCCGGGUGGAGCAUCGCAGCUAGUAGCUGGUGAUGUGCAAUCGGGUUGGCUUCUCAAUCGAUUGUCCUUGAGCCGGUCGGCCAGUAUUUGAAGGCCUCGAAACCGUGCCGGCAGCAGAGAAAUGUCUGCUCUGUUGACUUGUUCAUCGUCAUGCUUUGUUCUGCACUCCUAGUAACCGCUGAAGUCUUCGAUCGAAUGCUAUUUUUAUGUGGAUUGUCAAGUUUGAACUGGUUUCCAAGGUUGUAUUACGCGUGAUAACUCACCCGCCUGGCUGCAGACUGCACUUUUCUUCCUGCUUGCGUUGAAGUUUUCUUACUCCGUAUUAAACUCAGUUGCUUCAAGAUCCCACCCCUGUGACGUGAUUGACUCCUUGUCCCGAACAAGAAGAGACCAAGCAACGAGACAUCACCAGAUGGGGAAUAGGCUUGUAUGACAAAUUUCAAGGUUCCUCCCAGUGGUACAGAAACAACCUCCCUCGACAGAGAAAGGUAACCAUGUGAACAAUCAGGCAUUGCUUUACCACGAGAAUCAAGCAACACAAUUUCCCUCGAUGAGGGAUCAGUGAAAGAAGUUACUUCACUCCCAGUCGCCAUAGCUGUCUGUGACGGUGAGGAGCAAGCAACUCGACCGCCAUAUUCAGAAGGCCAUGACUUAUCUCUAACACGGACACUCAAGAUAGUGGCCUGGACCGCUUGCUCAAUUCGUUCCAUGCACAUUUCUAUUUUGCAGAAGCAGUUCUCAAGGCAAAUGGUAGACACACCGGUUUCCCACGCA
Brachypodium distachyon (stiff brome) is the source of this 1152-nucleotide long non-coding RNA. RefSeq lists it as uncharacterized. The record is from RefSeq and is a predicted model, not a curated record. The transcript is spliced from 3 exons. NCBI's taxonomy places the organism in Eukaryota, Viridiplantae, Streptophyta, Magnoliopsida, Poales, Poaceae.